GGAGAGGUAGCUCAGUAGGUUAGAGCACUAGAUUGAAACCCUAGGGGUCGGUGGUUCAAUUCCACCCCUCUCCA
RNAcentral lists this transfer RNA (74 nucleotides) under Enterococcus phage EfV12-phi1. RNAcentral's name for it is "tRNA-Phe". It matches the Rfam family "tRNA". Rfam says of the family: Transfer RNA (tRNA) molecules are approximately 80 nucleotides in length. Their secondary structure includes four short double-helical elements and three loops (D, anti-codon, and T loops). Lineage: Duplodnaviria; Heunggongvirae; Uroviricota; Caudoviricetes; Herelleviridae. RNAcentral also lists the same sequence under 14 other names. The record is from RNAcentral.